GCUGCCAACAUCCUGGUGGAGACGCUGAGGUCACCAUCAGAUGUGAAAUAUUUAAAGUGGAUAUAAAACUAUUUCAGCAAUGCAGACAAUUAAGUGCAUUGUUGUGGGCGAUGGUGCUGUUGGUAAAACAUGUCUCCUGAUAUCCUACACAACAAACAAAUUUCCAUCUGAAUAUGUUCCGACUGUUUUUGACAACUAUGCAGUCACAGUUAUGAUUGGUGGAGAGCCAUAUACUCUUGGACUUUUUGAUACUGCAGGGCAAGAGGAUUAGGACAGAUUAUGACUGCUGAGUUAUCCACAAACAUGUAUUUCUAGUCUGUUUUUCAGUGGUCUCUCCGUCCUCAUUUGAAAAUGUGAAAGAAAAGUGGGUGCCUGAGAUAACUCACCAGUGUCCAAAGACUCCUUUCUUGCUUGUGGGGACCCAAAUUGAUCUCAGAGAUGACCCCUCUACUAUUGAGAAACUUGCCAAGAACAAACAGAAGCCUAUCACUCCAGAGACUGCUGAAAAGCUGGCCCGUGACCUGAAGGCUGUCAAGUAUGUGGAGUGGUCCUCACUCACGCAGAAAGGCCUAAAGAAUGUAUUUGACCAAGCAAUAUCGGCUGCCUUGGAGCCUCCAGAACUGAAGAAGAGCUGCAGGUGUGUGCUGCUAUGAACAUCUCUCCAGAGCCCUUUCUGCACAGCUGGUGUCGGCAUCACACUAAAAGCAAUGUUUAAAUCAAACUAAAGAUUAAAAAUUAAAAUUCGUUUUUGCAAAAAAAAAAA
Lemur catta (Ring-tailed lemur) is the source of this 763-nucleotide RNA transcript. It is a transcript of the gene named cell division control protein 42 homolog, with no coding region annotated. NCBI's taxonomy places the organism in Eukaryota, Metazoa, Chordata, Mammalia, Primates, Lemuridae. The record is from RefSeq and is a predicted model, not a curated record. The transcript has a single exon.